GAUGAACGCUGGCGGCGUGCCUAAUACAUGCAAGUCGAGCGAACGGACGAGAAGCUUGCUUCUCUGAUGUUAGCGGCGGACGGGUGAGUAACACGUGGAUAACCUACCUAUAAGACUGGGAUAACUUCGGGAAACCGGAGCUAAUACCGGAUAAUAUUUUGCACCGCAUGGUUCAAAAGUGAAAGACGGUCUUGCUGUCACUUAUAGAUGGAUCCGCGCUGCAUUAGCUAGUUGGUAAGGUAACGGCUUACCAAGGCAACGAUGCAUAGCCGACCUGAGAGGGUGAUCGGCCACACUGGAACUGAGACACGGUCCAGACUCCUACGGGAGGGAGCAGUAGGGAAUCUUCCGCAAUGGGCGAGAGCCUGACGGAGCAGCGCCGCGUGAGUGAUGAAGGUCUUCGGAUCGUAAAACUCUGUUAUUAGGGAAGAACAUAUGUGUAAGUAGCUGUGCACAUCUUGACGGUACCUAAUCAGAAAGCCACGGCUAACUACGUG
This 497-nucleotide ribosomal RNA is filed under the name uncultured bacterium. RNAcentral describes it as "partial 16S ribosomal RNA". It matches the Rfam family "Bacterial small subunit ribosomal RNA", at positions 28 to 507 of the family's 1533-position model. The record is from RNAcentral.